CCUAGAGUGGUGUAGUGGAAACAUGCCUAGCUAACAGUUAAGUUUCUCCUUGUUGAGGCUGUAUGGGGACAGGAAUCUCAGGUUUGAUCCCUGACUUCGGGA
This 102-nucleotide transfer RNA is filed under the name Xylaria grammica. RNAcentral describes it as "tRNA-Val". Lineage: Eukaryota; Fungi; Ascomycota; Sordariomycetes; Xylariales; Xylariaceae. The record is from RNAcentral.